RNAcentral lists this long non-coding RNA (283 nucleotides) under Sorghum bicolor (sorghum). RNAcentral's name for it is "long non-coding RNA (SBIC_LNC010230)". Lineage: Eukaryota; Viridiplantae; Streptophyta; Magnoliopsida; Poales; Poaceae. The record is from RNAcentral.
UUAUGAAAUUUUGUAUUUGGCAACUUUUUUUAUUUGAGUUCAUCUUGUCAUGCAAAACCGCGUUUUUAAUUAAAAAUUAAAUUUUUUUAUUUUUUUAAAACAAUCUCGGAUGGAAAAACUCUCUAAAUAAACUUUGUAGAUCUUCAAAAGUUAUGAAACUUUGUAGUUGAUAACUUUUUGUUUUGAAAUCAUCUUGUUAUGCAAAAACUACAUUUGAAUUUCUUAAAUUUGAAAAUUCUUUGCCGAGUGUUUUUCUUUGACACUCAGCAAAGACCUUCUUUGC